This is a long non-coding RNA of Empidonax traillii (willow flycatcher), 3205 nucleotides long. RefSeq lists it as uncharacterized. Lineage: Eukaryota; Metazoa; Chordata; Aves; Passeriformes; Tyrannidae. The record is from RefSeq and is a predicted model, not a curated record. The transcript is spliced from 4 exons.
AAGAUGAGCUUCAGAGUCUGGAGCCCUGAUACCACAAGCUUUCCUGCCUUUGCAAGCAGUGGAGUCUGACACACGUGCAAUGGAAUGGAAAAGCUUCCUCUGAGCUCUGUAUCACACCUGACCAUUUACUCUGUUAGGAGUCUGAAAACAAAGUCAAGUCUUAGAAAGUACCAAUUAUUUUAGUUGUGCCGCUGAAUAAUAGACUGGAAGGCAAGAUGCCUGAAGUGCAUCAAAGGCCCAGUGAAGGAACUGGGAUAUUCUCUGCAGCCCUGCAUGGGGAAAAGCAGCUCCAGGACCAUGGCCCAUGCAUGGAGCUUAUCUGGCCAUUGGCAUCUCCAGAUGCUUGCCUUUCUGACCAGCAGCAAAAGACUGAAGAGUGAAAGCACUUUAAUAUUGUAGAGCACCUACAUGGAGACAAGUGGAUCAGUUCUCCUGCAUGAGUGUCCUUUUCUUAGACUCCUGGGGGAAGGAAGAGUCCAUCCCACAGAUGCUCCUGGUGGGACAUUUGUUUCUCCCAGGGGCAUAGCCCAUCAAAUCAGCACUGCCAGCUUGCUGCAGAAGGUGGGGCCAGCAGUCUGGAGCAAACUUGUCCUGCAGCAGCCCUGAAAAAGGAGCAAGCCAUCUAAAAAGAAAAGACAUCAUUAAAUUUCCUUUCCACGUGGUGAAUGAAGAAGCUUUUACCUGGGGAAGAAAGGAAAAGUGUUCUUUUUGUUAACUUCAUCCAGAGAGAAAGAAAAUCUUUGAGGUAUUUUCUGGCACGUGGCUCCUGUUAAGUUUCAGCCAGCUGAGCUGUUCCCAAAAGCACUGGAAUGUAAUUUCAGCAAUAAUCAAUCAGCAGAAAUGGAGGCAGUGAGGGUGUGAGGGUGUUCUGUUUCACAGAAGUCCUGGGUAAAAACCCAUUCACUGUGUCUAAGAACAUAGAUUUAACAAACAUGAAUCUGGAGUGCUGAAUUCCUGGAACCUCUCUUUACCCUGAAUGAUGGAAAAUUGGAGCCAUUGCUGGAUGGGGGAUGGUGCUUUUCAACUCCAAUUUCAGUCAAUUGACUCAAAUUCAUUUGUAAACCUUUGGCACUCCUGCUGAAAAAAAUUUAAUUUCCCACCUUUUUUUUUUUUUUAAUUUAUUGCUCAGAAUGUGUAAGUACUAAAUUAGACAUAGAGCUUUUGGUGUAAGCCAGCAUAAUCCUUUUACCACUGAAUCAUUCUGUUAUAUAGUAUUUUGACCGCUCUGUGUGUGUGUGAAAUUGCUGUCUAAAAUGUAUUGCUUAAAAUUGGUAUUUGCCUGUUUUGGACAAAUCUGUUAGAAAAUUCUAAAAGGAAAUCAUGCAGAAUAAAGAAACCUACUCUUUAGUCUCUUGGGUGGGAAACUCUUGAGUUCUGCACAGUUUCAAAGUGCUUUUGAAAGAGCUGAAAUGGUUCAGUGUCACACUAAAAUGGUGAGAUUUUUUUGUAGGCUAGUUAAAUUAUUUUCACGGGACAAAGAAAUCCCUUACACAGUUCUGUAUUUGCAAAGGAAGGAGUAGUGUGCUUGCACUGUACUGGGAUCAUGGAAGCACGCUGCCUUGAGCAAGCUGAGCUUGGUCCACGCCAGCACAAAGUAAUGACUGAUGUUUUGAUGAGAAUUCAGUGACAUGGAACAAGGGUUGAUAUUCUGCCAUGGUCUAAAGAGUAGAUCCCAGCAGUGAAGACAAAAAAAAAACCCCAAAUGUCAAAAAAAACCAAGAAAAAAAGAUAAAAAUUCAGCAUUUUUGGAAGUGUUCUGCUUUUCCCGAACUCUCACUGAGAUUACAAGAAGGAACUUAAGGGCAGAGGUUGGUGUUUAUGGAGCUGGAGGUAUCUUCUCUCUGCAAAGUGAAGAGGAGCUCUAAAAUCUGCUGAGAAGAUUCCCUUUGCCUUUCAGUCUUCAGACCAAUCCAUAUAUGAAGGAAUUACUUUAUUCCUACCUCUGGUAGGAAGUCCACUGAGAAGCCUGUGAGAGAGCUUGAAGUCAUUCUGUUAGUACUUGUGUGUAUUCAGCUCUGGAAAGAGAAGUUCUAUGUUGUCUCCUAAGAACAAAAGCCCUUAAGAGAUGUGGCACUCCACAUGACGUGAUUUGCCUAUACUGUAAUUUUCUUCUUCUGAACGAGGCCAGGGAAGAGCUUCCUGUUACAUUUCAGGGAAGUUAGGUGAUGUACAGAGUGAAAAUGUCAAAUAAUGGUGUUCAAGUGUAUAGCAACCAAGUCAACAUUAAUAAAAGUUCACUGUCUUUCUAAAAUGAUCCUAUACAUUAGCGUCAAAUGCUCUAGGACUUAUAAUGAAAGAAGACAGCAUGUAUUCAAGGCAAUGAAAUGAAGCUAAUUAAAAUGUCAGAUAACACAAGUUUAGAUUGUUUGAAAUAGACCUUUUUGUAAUAUAGUGAGAUCUUCAUCAGAAGGCCACAAACUUAACUUUUUAAUAAAAAAAUAAUCUUAAUAAUUUUUUGCAUCAAGUCUGACCUCUGCUGCCUACAAAUUUGGAUUGAUGUAUCAAAGUACAUAUUGUCUUUAAUGUUCCUGUCAAACCUGAGCUGUGAUGCGUGGAUUUAUUCCCUACUUGGAGAGAUGCUUCUGUGAAACUUGGCUAAUAAAAACGUGACACAGCCGGUGACUGAUGCCUGUUCUCUCAGGGCGUGUGAGCGUGGGACAAACACUGCACACACAUCCUCUACUUGACACUGAAAAAUGAGACACAUCUAGUAAAAAACAUAAUAUAUGCUCUAACGGUCUUGCAGUGACCUUCUCGUUGUCUUUCUCCCUCCUCACAUACCUUUCUCACUUCUCAACUCUUUCCCUUCCUUCCCUUGCAGGCUCUCAGCCUGCAAUUUAUCUUGCAGCGAGGUCUCUGCUGCCUCUGAACGUGUCAUACGCUUGCGCACAGGCCCUGGCAGGGUCUGGCCUUCCUCUGUGGGAGAUCUCAGGCUGCUCUUUGCCAACUUGGACUGUGAGCGGACAAAGGAAAAAGCUUUUCCUCGUAAAAUAAAGAUAUACUUAAAAAAAAAAAAAAAAAAGAAACAAACCUCGGCAACGAAUCCAAAAUCCCAGCUCUAGCAACCUGGUAAUUUGUCAGUGCCAGGCGUCAGCCCACUAUUAGUCUUUUUCUGGAUAGAGAUGACAGAACUCUGUUGACAAGCUGUAGGACUUAUUUCAGGAGCUGGCACCUGGCUCCCUGGCACGUCCCCCUGACGGCUGUG